GUAGGGACCAAGCGUUGUUCGGAUUUACUGGGCGUAAAGGGCGCGUAGGCGGCCCUACAAGUCACUUGUGAAAUCUCCGGGCUUAACUCGGAACGGCCAAGUGAAACUGUAGAGCUAGAGUGUGGAAGGGGCAAUCGGAAUUCUUGGUGUAGCGGUGAAAUGCGUAGAUAUCAAGAGGAACACCUGAGGUGAAGACGGGUUGCUGGGCCAACACUGACGCUGAGGCGCGAAAGCCAGGGGAGCAAACGGGAUUAGAUACCCCGGUAGUCCUGGCCCUAAACGAUGAAUACUUGGUGUCUGGAGUUUCAACACUCCGGGUGCCGUCGCUUAACGUUUUAGUAUUCCGCCUGGGGAGUACGCUCGCAAGAGUG
This 371-nucleotide ribosomal RNA is filed under the name uncultured organism. RNAcentral describes it as "bacterial SSU rRNA". It matches the Rfam family "Bacterial small subunit ribosomal RNA", at positions 527 to 896 of the family's 1533-position model. The record is from RNAcentral.